RNAcentral lists this ribosomal RNA (253 nucleotides) under uncultured bacterium. Its description in RNAcentral is "partial 16S ribosomal RNA". It matches the Rfam family "Bacterial small subunit ribosomal RNA", at positions 524 to 776 of the family's 1533-position model. The record is from RNAcentral.
UACAGAGGUCUCAAGCGUUGUUCGGAUUCAUUGGGCGUAAAGGGUGCGUAGGCGGCUUGGUAAGUUGGGUGUGAAAGCCCCGGGCUCAGCCCGGGAAGGGCACUCGAAACUGCCGAGCUGGAGUGCCGGAGGGGAGAGUGGAAUUCCUGGUGUAGCGGUGAAAUGCGUAGAUAUCAGGAGGAACACCGAUGGCGAAGGCAGGUCUCUGGGCUGACACUGACGCUCAUGCACGAAAGCGUGGGGAGCAAACAGG